Molecule: ribosomal RNA, 253 nt
Filed under: uncultured bacterium
Lineage: Bacteria
Description: partial 16S ribosomal RNA
Rfam family: Bacterial small subunit ribosomal RNA
Source: RNAcentral
UACGAAGGGUGCUAGCGUUGUUCGGAAUUACUGGGCGUAAAGCGCGCGUAGGCGGCUUAACAAGUCAGAGGUGAAAUCCCCAGGCUCAACCUGGGAAUUGCCUUUGAAACUGUUAAGCUUGAGUGUCGGAGGGGAUAGCGGAAUUCCUAAUGUAGAGGUGAAAUUCGUAGAUAUUAGGAGGAACACCGGUGGCGAAGGCGGCUAUCUGGACGACAACUGACGCUGAGGCGCGAAAGCGUGGGGAUCAAACAGG